RNAcentral lists this ribosomal RNA (194 nucleotides) under uncultured bacterium. RNAcentral describes it as "partial 16S ribosomal RNA". It matches the Rfam family "Bacterial small subunit ribosomal RNA", at positions 332 to 526 of the family's 1533-position model. The record is from RNAcentral.
AUUACUCCUACGGGAGGCAGCAGUAAGGAAUAUUGCUCAAUGGCCGAAAGGCUGAAGCAGCAACGCCGCGUGGAGGAUGAAAUACUUUUGUAUGUAAACUCCUGUGAGAAGGGAAAAAUAUGCAGAUUUUCUGCGUUGAUUGUACCUUCAGAGGAAGCCCCGGCUAACUACGUGCCAGCAGCCGCGGUAAUAAU